Mastomys coucha (southern multimammate mouse) is the source of this 341-nucleotide long non-coding RNA. RefSeq lists it as uncharacterized. The record is from RefSeq and is a predicted model, not a curated record. NCBI's taxonomy places the organism in Eukaryota, Metazoa, Chordata, Mammalia, Rodentia, Muridae. The transcript has 2 exons.
AAAACUCACCCUAAAACUGUCUUAUCAGAAUUCCAGGGCACCUGGCACAUGGAGCCUUAUGGGAGCUGAGUGACCUGUCUAGAAAGUGCACAGAACGUCACUGCUUUUUCUUCCUGUCCAUCUGGCUGUCUGUAUUAUUUGCAGUGUUCUUUAUAACAAAACGAGGGAAGCCACCCAGGAACCAAGAGAACACUGCCUGCUGAGGGAAACAAUGAGCUCAUUUCUUCUGAAAGUUGCUGGCUGCGGUGCUGAGACCACUGAGAACACAGCAGCUGUUUGUAGACUCUCCUAAUUGGCACAAGACUAUUGUCUGGGUUUGUACUCCAUUACUGGCAAAAGUA